GACGAACGCUGGCGGCGUGCCUAAUACAUGCAAGUAGAACGCACAGUUUAUACCGUAGCUUGCUACACCAUAGACUGUGAGUUGCGAACGGGUGAGUAACGCGUAGGUAACCUGCCUGGUAGCGGGGGAUAACUAUUGGAAACGAUAGCUAAUACCGCAUAAUAUUGAUUAUUGCAUGAUAAUUAAUUGAAAGGUGCAAUUGCACCACUACCAGAUGGACCUGCGUUGUAUUAGCUAGUAGGUGAGGUAACGGCUCACCUAGGCGACGAUACAUAGCCGACCUGAGAGGGUGAUCGGCCACACUGGGACUGAGACACGGCCCAGACUCCUACGGGAGGCAGCAGUAGGGAAUCUUCGGCAAUGGACGAAAGUCUGACCGAGCAACGCCGCGUGAGUGAAGAAGGUUUUCGGAUCGUAAAGCUCUGUUGUAAAAGAAGAACGGGUGUGAGAGUGGAAAGUUCACACUGUGACGGUAUCUUACCAGAAAGGGACGGCUAACUACGUG
RNAcentral lists this ribosomal RNA (505 nucleotides) under uncultured bacterium. RNAcentral's name for it is "partial 16S ribosomal RNA". It matches the Rfam family "Bacterial small subunit ribosomal RNA", at positions 28 to 507 of the family's 1533-position model. The record is from RNAcentral.